This 388-nucleotide ribosomal RNA is filed under the name Pseudocerastes persicus (Persian horned viper). RNAcentral describes it as "partial 16S ribosomal RNA". It matches the Rfam family "Bacterial large subunit ribosomal RNA", at positions 1998 to 2603 of the family's 2925-position model. Lineage: Eukaryota; Metazoa; Chordata; Lepidosauria; Squamata; Viperidae. The record is from RNAcentral.
GGCAAAAUGAGAGCCCGACUGUCUCUUACAACAAAUCAAUUAAACUGAUCUCCCAGUACAAAAGCUGGGAUUCCCAUAUAAGACCAGAAGACCCUGUGAAGCUUUAACUAACCUAUUAAACCCAAUAAUAGCUAAUUUCGGUUGGGGCGACCUAGGAACAAAAAAGAACUUCCAAACACAUGACAUACGCAUGAGCAAAGGCAAACAAGCCAAAUUUGACCCAGUACAUCUGAUUAAUGGACCAAGUUACUCCAGGGAUAACAGCGCCAUCUUCUUCAAGAGCCCAUAUCAAAAAGAAGGUUUACGACCUCGAUGUUGGAUCAGGACAUCCUAGCAAUGCAACCGUUACUAAGGGUUCGUUUGUUCAACGAUUAACAGUCCCACGUGA